Molecule: ribosomal RNA, 268 nt
Filed under: uncultured bacterium
Lineage: Bacteria
Description: partial 16S ribosomal RNA
Rfam family: Bacterial small subunit ribosomal RNA
Source: RNAcentral
AUGGCGACCGGCGCACGGGUGAGUAACGCGUAUCCAACCUGCCCUUUACUAUGGGACAGCCCGUCGAAAGGCGGAUUAAUACCGUAUGUUGUCAUGUUGAUGCAUAUUCUCAUGACCAAAGGCUUCGGCCGGUAAAGGAUGGGGAUGCGUCUGAUUAGCUUGCCGGCGGGGUAACGGCCCACCGGGGCGACGAUCAGUAGGGGUUCUGAGAGGAAGGUCCCCCACAUUGGAACUGAGACACGGACCAAACUCCUACGGGAGGCAGCAG